AGGCCCCUAUGGCACCUCCUGGGAGGGAAGUCAGUGUGGGCACCAGGAUCAGGCCUGACUGCAGAGCGCUUCUUGGCCUGCUGACUGAGCCCCUUAAAUGACUUUGUUUUGGAAACCAGAAAACGGAUUUUUUCUGAGAUGUUAGGAAAUAAUAUUUUAACAGAGGCCUUGCUCUCUAGUCUCUGGUUUGAAGGUAUCAUUGUUUGGUUUCUCCUUCUGAGCACAAGACUCCCCUGUUCUGUUCUAUUCUGUUCUUUUUCCUUCCCUGCAGAGAAGAGAACAGAAGAAUAACAGCAGAAGAUACGCAGCCUGUAAUGGACUGAAUAUCUGUGUCCCCCUAAACCCACAUAUUGAAAUCCUUCCCCCAGUGUGAUGCUGUUUGGAAGUGGGGCCUUUGGGAGGUGAUUGGGUCAUAGGGGUGCAGCCCUCAUGGAUGGAUGAAUGCCCUUCUAAGCCCAGGCCAGAGGGCUAGCUUGCUGUUUCUCCUCCAGGUGAGGAUACAACUAGAAGCCAGCAGUCUACAGGCUGGAAGAAGGCCCUCACCAGAACCCAACCCUUGGACUUCAGCCUCCAGAACUGUGAGAAAUACAUACCUGCUGUUUAUUCAUUCAGCUUUUCCAGACCAGGCAUCACCGAGCGGAGAGAGGGGAAACACCCUGGCUUCUCUUUGGCACAUCAGCCCCUAGUUCUUGAGAGAGAAGGGCAGGGUGGUCUACUCACCAUGUCUGUAUCCUGCCGUUCUUCAUUUGACUCAUCCUGGAUUUCUAACUCUUCUUCCUCGUCCUCUUCCAUAAGGCUGAGUCUGAUGUAGGGGCAAAGAGACUGGCUUUUCAAACUGUUCUUUGAGGACCCCUGAGAGUUUCUCAGACACCCGGGGUGGGGGAAGUGGGGAGCAGUAAGUACAGCAUAGUAGUUUCCCGAUUGUGCUGACAGGAAGUGCUCUGUGGCUAAAACAAGUCCAAAAAGCACCCACAGAGAGGCAAUGGGUGAGACAGGAAUCCCCUCACAGUGGGCGACAGAUCUGAAGUGAAGACAGGAGAUGAUGAGAAAAGCUCACCGCAUCAGCUGGUUGCCCAGGCCAGGACCUGAAGGGUUGUGUGGAGUCUGGAAAUAUUGUGGACCCAAGAACCUUGACCUCUCGGUGCCUGCGACGGGCUGACUGCUGGGAAUGAAGCAGGAUCAAUGAUGGGAUAAAAAUCAAGGGUAAGAAGAGGAUGUAAGGCAGCUGGUGUUAAUGGGGAGAAAAGCUCAGAGAGAUGCAUUUUAAAGCUAAACAAUGGAGAAGGGUUUGAGAAGAACCCAACAAUGUGGGAGUGCUACAGCAGGGAACCAUGAAACAGAAACAGCAAGAUGGAGGCAGCCAGACACCAAACUGGGAACUCAGACACCCAGAUUCCCUCCAUGGCCUCACCCCUGGGCAAAAUCCAACUCUGAGCCAUCUUCUUCCUCCAUCUCUUUCAACCCCCACAGGGGCUGCCUGCUCUUCACAGCUGUGGAGGUGAGGGUGGGCGUGGGCGGGAUGCUGUUCAGCUGCAGACUUUCUUCCUGGGACGAGGAGACGUCCUCUCUGUUAGGCUUGGCAGGCCCUGCCAAGCAGAUGCAUACAUUAACCACAGCCCAGGGCCUGCGACAGGUGUGCUCUCUUUCCAAGACCUGCCCAGGAUUUAGUAAGGGAAAGUCAAUCAGGAAGAGAAUGGAAAACUUAUACAGCUUCAUUCUGUUGCCCUCAAAUGGGCAUAGCCCUAUGUACUAAAUACAUAGCCCUAUGUACCAAAAAGUAAGGCUUAGAGAAUUGUAGCUAGGCCUUGUCCAAGAAGAACUUGCUACACAGCCUAGAAAACAAGAUGGAAAGAUAUAUAAAUAUACAUUUCACAGAUAAACUGUAACAGGUGAACAGGUGAACACAAACAUGAGGGAGGGUUGGAGUCUCUAAGAUUGAGAGGUCUGAGUUAGCCAAUGAAGACAUCUGAGAUCCUAUCCAAGAUUUCUGUGGUCAGAAAAAGCUGUAAAUGGCAAUAGAGUUUUGGUACCAGAGGCUAGAGUGGACAAAUGAGGGCCAGGGAGGAACCGGAAAAUGGGAGACAGGAUUUUCUAAAAGCUAGAAAAAAAUGAAGUGAUUGCAAUGCCAGUAUAACUGAUAUGAUAUGAAGGGGGACUUAUCUCCUGCAGAGAUUGGAGAAGGUAGAGGAGGAGAAAGAAUCCAAAGAUUCUCACUGCCUGAGAAAACCCAGGCAAUACUAUUUUAAAGCAUCAGUCAAAUUGACAUUAACAUCUGUUAACUGUAAACAGUCACACUCCCAUUACCCCCCUUCUCCACUAAAAACAAUAAUCCCAAAGUGAGCGCUCAGCCUAUGGGUUUAAGCAGAGGGCUACAGAAAACAGGGAAGAGACAUACCCCUGGGCUUGGAUUCCCAGAGAGGAAACCUUGGGGCCCCAGAUGUGUCCUCCUGAUCUCCCUGAGCUAUUAAUGGUGUGAUGCCCGAGGGCUGGGCCCUUGAGUCUCUCCUCUUCUCCAUCUUCACUGGCUUCCCCAGCCACUCACGUUCAUGUCCUUAAAUAUCACCUAUACUCUGCCACAUCCCAAAGGGAUCUCAAGCCUUCAGCUCUCCCCUGAACUCCAUCUUAACAGCCCCCAUGGUUUGUUCAACAUCUCCACCUGUAAUCCUGUGGCCAACACCAAUGCCCCAACCUUCCCCCACAGCUAUCUUCACUCUCUGCCUUCCCCAUCUCAGAUACUGUCAACUCCAUCCUUCUGUCAGGCCAAAAUCCUUGGAGCCAUCCUCAACUGCUCUUUUUGUCUUACAUCCCACAUCCAGUUUGUCAGAAAAGCCUAUUAGAGAUACCUUGAAAAUGCACCCAGAAUCUGGCCGUUUCUCGGCACCUCCACCAUUGCCCCCGGCCUAAGAAGCUCUCUUAUCUUGCAUCUUGGGCUGGACUCCUACAACAGCCACAACCUCCCUGCUGGUCUCCCAGCUUCUAGCCUUCCCCCAUCUCCUGUCGUUUUCGACACAGCAGCCAGAAGGAUCCUUUAAAAACAGAGGUUGAUCCUGUCGUUCCUCAAAAUCCUCCAAUGGUUUUCCUACUGCACUCAGAGUAAAAGCCAGUCUCUGCCUUAGAUGCUCUGGGAUCCUGUACCCUCUUUGGUCUCAUGUCCUACAAUCUGCAUUCUGGCCAUAAUGGUCUUCUCUGCUGUUCCUUGAACAUUCCAGGAACAUUCCCCCCAUCCCCUCGUGGCCUCAGGACUGGCUGCUUCCUUUGGUAUGCUAUUCUGAUACACACUAAGCACCCUCCCUCACCUGUUAUAAAAAAUUCGCUGGGAGGCCAAUAGGCUGAAAUGGCUCCUGCACUUUGGGUUCCUAAGUCAGCAAACUGAAACUCAACUCAGAGUGAAAGUGUUGUGUGUAACCUAGGAGCAGGAAACUUCAGCUUAACCAGUCAGAAACUACCGACUAACCUCUAACAAGAGAUUUAUGGUCAGUUAACCUCUAAAUAUGAACUUUCCACUCUAACCAAUCAAAUAGUUUCUUUGUCUUGCUCCCAGAGACACCUUGUAAGUGUCCCCUCUGGUUUCCUCGGUGGUGGCGCCCUGAACUGCUGGCGGUCUGCCACUGCCUGAUUGAUAAAAUUGC
This 3629-nucleotide long non-coding RNA is filed under the name Homo sapiens (human). RNAcentral's name for it is "non-protein coding lnc-GPC2-2:7". Lineage: Eukaryota; Metazoa; Chordata; Mammalia; Primates; Hominidae. The record is from RNAcentral.